This 5074-nucleotide long non-coding RNA is filed under the name Sus scrofa (pig). Its description in RNAcentral is "lncRNA (ENSSSCG00000061434.1)". The record is from RNAcentral. Lineage: Eukaryota; Metazoa; Chordata; Mammalia; Artiodactyla; Suidae.
GUUGAAUCAGAGCUGCACCUACCGGCCUAUGCCACAGUCAUAGCAACUUGGAAUCCUAGCCAUGUCUGCUACCUACCCCACAGCUCACAGCAAUGCCGGAUCCUUAAUUCACUGUGUGAGGCCAGGGAUCAAACCCACAUUCUCACGAACACUAUGCCAAGUCCUUAACCUGCUGAGUCACAACGGGAACUCCCAGAGUUGAAUUUCUUCCAAAAGCACUGGGAGAGGACACUCUCUUGCCUCUUCUAGGUGCCAGUGUCUCCAAGCAUCACAUGACCUGUGGCAGCUAACUCUCACCUCUGUGUCUGUCUUCAUGUGGCCUUUUCCUCUAUGUAUGCCUCUUCUUCUUAUGAUACUUGUCAUUGGCUUUGGGGGCCACUCAAUUAAUCCAAGACAAUCACAUCAUAGGAUCCCUCACUUAAUUAUAUGUCUAAAGACCAUUUGUCUCAUAAGGUCAUGUUGACAGAUCCCAGGGGUUGGUACUGGGACACAUCUUUCAGGGAUCACAGUUCAACCAAUGAUACCACUGACGAACUGAGUUUAUGUGUGCCGAAAGCCCACCAACAUCUCUGCAUGAGGACAAUGAGAAUCAGAGGGUGAGUUGUAAUUCAACUGAUUCUUACUGGAAUGAACGAAACCGGGAUGCUUAAAGAGAAAAAACAACAAAAAAAGUAGUGCUUGAAAAAUUUCCUCCUUCAGCAAAAUUAUUGUUCCAGUAGUUUUGGGCCCUAAACACUGGCUGAAAUAAUAAAAAAUUUUUCAAGGAAAAUGAGAUGAAUUUUAGGUUUAAUUCAAAUAUACUUAGAGCAAUGAACACCACCUUUUCUUCCUAUAGAUAGGUUCAUCAGGAGGCGCAGAGUCUUCAACAAACAUGCUGAGUCUGAGGUUCUAAAAUGCUUUGCUGGUCUAGCCCAGAAAAGAAACAAACCCUUCCAAAGGGAACAUUUACAAUAAAGUUUGAACACUGUUUUAUGUUUACUUAUAUAAUCAAUGUUAAUAAAAUUGCAUAUCAUUUUUCAUGUAUUGUGAUGGAUUAUGGUGUUUUUAUGGCAUAAACAGAUGCCCCGAGAAAGAAGUCUCAGUUUUUAACAUUGUACAUAGGGGAAAUGAGAGUCAACUAUUACCUAAAAACAAUUAGAUAACAGAUUUUGAGGCCCUUGUACUUUGCUCCGCAAUGAAACAAAAUAUGGAAACGUCCACCAGUCAGAGUACAAAGGUGACCUAUGAAUUUUUAGCAUAGUUAAUUGAUAUUUCUGUUUCUGGAGCCUUCCAUUAAAGGAGGAAACAAAACAUGUUCCUCCAACGUGCAACAAAUGCCUUUGGUUCCAGCUUUGAUGAUCUCAUUAUUCAUUGCCUACCAAUCACUAGCUCACAAAUUUCCCCUUUGCCUAGAGAAUAUGUUCACAUAUUCCUAACCUUUCUGUAUCCCAAUGCUUCUUCCAUAACAAAUUCACCUUGGGAACCCUUUGCAGGAAGCCCUUCUACUUGGACCCCCUCCUCUUACCAAUGAGUUUCCUUUCUUCCACCUUCUAUCAUGCUCCAUUGCUGGUUUUUGAAACAAACAAGCAAGUUUCUUGAGGACUGGCUAUAUUCAAAGAAGUCUGCAGUACAAAUAUGAACACAAGUUUAGCUUUCUCUCCUCAGUUAGGUUAAAGGCCUGAAGUAUAUCUUAAAUUUCCUCAUUUCCACAUUAAAGAACACUGAAAAGAAACUGCUCAAUAAGUACUGGCUCUUUAAUCCAAAAAUAAAUAAGACAUUAUUUGAACAUGUUCAAUGCAAAUUACAAUAGGUAUUUGAAAAUCAAGAACAUGUGAAUUGGGGGCAAUAAUUUCAGUACAAUUAACUGCUGCUUCAGAUAAGUUGCAUUGAAAGUUGUGCUUAAAUUACCAAUCACAACGGAUUAUGAACCCCAUAUGGUGUGUGUCUGCCUCUUGACCCAGAAACAGAAUUUCUCCAGUGAAACAGUGACUGUUGGGCAACAGUUAUGGUGAAGAUUCUAAAGAAAGGAGCUUAGAGUUUUGCGGCAACAGGGCUGACUGAGAGGUAUACUAGGUUCUAGCUCUCCCUUUUUAUCCUUAAAGCUUGGGAAUCCAGGAAGGAAGUUGGCUGUUUUGUUAAUUACUAUAUCCUUAGAUAUUAAUUACUAUAUCCAGUCCAUAGCAAAAACUCAUCUCUGACUCAGGAAGGUGAAAAUAGAGGAAGAUGGGUAGGAGGGGUGGGGAAUAAUUGUCUUGUCUAUGUGCAUCUUUUCCUGUAUUUUUUAAAAAAUAUAUAUAAAAUUAAUUCUUCCUGUUAUAGUUUCUAUGAUAUGCUAGUUACUGGGUAUGCAGAAAUUAAUAAAGUAGAAACCUUGCCAUUAUGGGAUUGUGGUGAUCAAAGUCUGGUUGGGAAGAACUACCAUUGGUAAUGCUUCAUAAUGGACAGUUACUAUAAUUGCCUCUUAACCUAGUCUCCUAGUCUCAUCUUUGACUUCCCCAGAACCCAUUUUAUAUACAGAAAAUAAAACUCUACCAUAAGAGUCAAACCCAGCAGAACCACGUUCUUCCUUCAAACCAUCAAUGGCCUUGCCAUUGCAAUUGUUUUUAAUUCUAAAUUCUUUAUCAUGGCCUAGGAGUUGCUACAUGAUCUGGGCCCUGCAGAUUUAUCUGACCUCAUUCAGAGUCUCUGCAGGAGAAACGACAGAAUCAGAGUCACAGAGGAUUUUGUACGCCAGUUAAAAAAAUAAAAAGAGCUGCCUGAUGGAUCCUGAAGAGCUAUGUAUUUCCAAAAGGCGUUUGGAAAACAGAUGACUUAAAACAAACAUUUAAAUGAAAACAUUUAAUGAAGAAAUGUGAGAGAGCUUGAAGUAGCUCUGACGGUCCUAGCCCAUACACAUUUUCUUCGAGAAUGUGCAGGGGUGACAGACAAAGGGUUCUGCAGACACAGGGGGUGGAGGGAGGAUUCUGGGUACUUCCAUGCAUAUUCAUUACACUCUAAUUUAUUACCAUGUUUACCACCAAAACUGCAGAGCCAAUUAUAUUCUAUCUCAGGCCCCCAGGGGGUUUUCAUCUUCCUGGUUUGGCCAAGCACCAAAACAAAGCACAUUCAGGAGAGGAAUUGCAGUUGGUAAACGUUAAUAUUUAACGGGACGGAGAAGUUGGUCUUCCUGAAAACACAGACUGCUCACUCUUCCAAUGAAAAAUUACGUCUAUUCUAGUCUUUCUGCCCUUGCAAUCUCUCCCGGCACAGAGAGGUUUCCCCCGGAUGAUCCAAUGAUAAAAACAAACGUGGAAAGACAUUUCUCACAGUGAAUUCCUGCUUCGAUGAGUCUACCUUUCACUCCUCCAGCAGGAAAACAAGACAGACCUCUCCCUGAUUCCGUGUUCUCUUCCUACUUCAGUGAAAUUAGUUUAGGAUAAAAUGAGAGAUGGUGAUGUCCUAAAAUGAAUCUUCCUUGAAAAUGAUUAGGCCAAUAUAUUAUAGGUAUGUUCUUCAGGAUGCUGAUUUCCUAAGUUAUCCUAAAAGAAAAAGAGUACUCUAUAGUCAAAAAAGUGUGCCGAAUGCUACAAAGACACAUCCCUCUUAGAAUUUCACAAUGUACCUUAGCUUUAAAAAAAACAUCUCUUAAAAGUCCUAGAAGUAGAGAAUCUUAAAUUUAACUUGCUUAACCUAGCAUUCUAAACUUGCUGAAUACAAUUGGACUCUUUUUCAUGUUAUGCUGACUGGCAAUUGAAGUACAGAUUGACAACCUGACUGAAACAUUUGAGAAGGGGAAAUGCGGGAUAACAGUCAAAAAAAGUUCAUGCUAAAUUCUUAACCAUGAAUGCUCAAAUUUUAAAUACUGAGUUUAUAAUUAAUACCUAAUGACACUAAUGUCAUCACGCUUGUAAAUACCCAAAACGCCAAAGCCUCUGUCCUUACCCUCAGGUUUAUAAAACUGCCAGAACAGAGGGGGACUAAGAAAACGUGGAUAUUAUUUACGGUGUAAAGUAUGCAUGUCCGCAAUUAAUGCAAAGAAUGUCAUCUGUAUUGCAGGGAAGGAUCAUGUACGUCCCACCUUCUGCAUAUUAUGGUCAUACAUACAGCAUCGCAGGGCCUAUCUGAGGGAAGUGGACUGAAAGGCUUGAGUUACAGCAGAGGAACACUGGUACUCAGUUAUUCAUCAUUCACAGACGAUGUAAACGCCACCCUCCCUCCCGCAAGGCCCUCCUUCCAAUUUACUUACGGAACAACGCCCACUUCUUACUAAAUGUGAGCACAUAAGAUGACUUUAAAGAGCUAGAGGAAGGACUGGAUGCCGCACUCUGUGCACACACAGUACAUCUAAGGCACUCCUGAGUCUCUGUGGUACAAAUACUUCUCAAGCAUAUGCCUCAAAAGCAGGGAAGACAAAACAUUAAAUUUUCGAAUUCCAAAAGUCUAAGGCUUUUUGUAAAAUACAAUUAUUUCCAGUUUUCAGACUACUUCAAAGUUUUCAGACUACUUCUCCAUGGGUAAAGUCAAUCCAUUUCAAUGGAUUUAUUACAAAGGUAUCAAAAUAGAAAGUGUAGAUAGUCUGAUUUUAUAAAUGAGCUCACAGGAUUGUGAAAAUGCAAAGGGCCACGUCGGUAUUUUGGAAAGAGUUGUCUUUAAAUUGUGCUGCAUCGAGUAGCCUCAGGUAGCUACUGUCUUAGAACAGGGAGUAGGGUGGUGAGCAGCGAGAGUUCAAGUUUCUUACCGCCAUUUCAGAGAGGGGCCCUCAGUUUUUAAAUCUUCCUCAUAUUAGGAGAUUUUAUGUGCCAUUAAAACAAAGUUUCUGGAGUUCUCUUGUGGCACAGUCAGUUAAGAAUCCAGCAUUCUCAAUGCAGCAGCUUGGGUCACAGCUGUAGCAUAGGCUAGGUCCCUGGACUGGGAAUUUUCAUAUGCUCCAGGGGCAGCUAAAAAAAUAACAAUAAUUUAAAAUAAAUAAAUGUUUCUAUUGUGAUGUAUUUUCCAACCAGUAGUUCCAAGUGUUUCCAGAUGAGGAAAAUUAAGUCGAGUGAAAUAAAGAUCUUUGUGCAAGGAGGUAAGAGUACUUCGCUGGGGAAUUCCCAAUGCAGCUCUGCAGGUUACGCAU